UGUUAUUCUGUAUAUUUAUUGAUAAUAAGACCACUGAUGGUGACUUAGUCGAUAGUAGACGGCAUGGUGCAGUUCUUCUUCGGGUGUCUAGUGACCCCAUGUGUAAGCAGGAUGGUAUUACAAUUUAGUAUUUACAGGAAAAUAUCAGUUCAGAGAAAGGUAAAGUAAGUUUAAGGGUGCUGGAAAACAUACAUUCACUAAAUAAAUAUACAGUUUCAAAAGCAACAAGCUUUGAAAAGCCACAACCAAAUACUGACCAAAACCGAAUAACAACAGGAUCCACAGAGUCUAGACGCUCGCACUCUCUCGCUUACACGCACGCUCAAAGUUACAGAGAUAGUCAGCUACAGAGGAACAAAGUCUCACACGCACACGCAUACCGAAAGAGAGAUAAAAAACCACUUGGUGAAAGUGUAAACUGAAUGCCAACCGAACUCUAAUAAAUACACAGCUAAACUGCGCGUUACUCUCAACGAAACAUCGGCCACGAUUCUUUUUUUCAGUGCGGGGUCUUCCUAUAAACUAUUAAACAAAUACAGCACAAAGUGUGGAUUCAAAACUGUGACACAACAUUUAUACUGAUUAGCAUAUUAGAAUGAGAAACGGUAUGUCAUAUAAAUUACAUUUCCGAUACAUAUCUACAGCUGAUGAUGACGAUGAUUAAGCAUGUUGCAUGGCACCACACACAAUACAGUAGAUGAACACGUGUCUUCUUGCUAAAUCUGGCAUCCUUUGCCGUAGCAGACCGCUGACGUUAGCUCAAACCAGCAGAAAACAAUUGGCGACCCUAAUGAUUCGACAUGACACUAGCAAGCUGUAAAGCGCUGCUCUGCGAGCUCUUAACCACUAGAACGAAGCAAAAAGUAAGACGGGUCUCUUUAAAGCUAAAAUCUGCCAGUAAUUUCUACAUUUUCUACAUAUAAUAACACGAACACGAGUACUAAAACAUCACUAAAGUGUCAGUAUGCGUCAUAUAAGUGCUUGUUUCCCCUUGCAGACAACUUUCAUCCUGUUUUCCAUCUGUUCUCUAUAUCAGCAACACUCUAAAUGUGCUUGCAGAGACUGUGUAAAAGUCAGGGCCUUUUUUCUGUAUUUAAUUCAUUAUCAGGUUUACAAGUAUGACCCUCAAAAAACCCCAGCUGAAGCACAUGUGGCCUUUGAUUGCUCCUCAAAGGAAGCUGAAGAGCAGUAACCUUAACGAUUACUAAUUACUAGAGGUCUAAUUCAGAGCCUGAAAAAACCCGGUCACACCAGUAUUGAAGCAAAAUCAGUACAUUUAAAUGAACUUGCAGUAGUGAAAAGAUGUUUAGGUGACGUUUGCAUGUUUUUCUGUUUUGGUUUUUUUAAAUUUUAAACUGGAUAGUCCAAUUUUUUUCUUUAAUAUUUAUUUUAACCCUCAUCUACCAACCAAAAAAUGUAGAUACAGUUAUCAGACAGCUUUCAAUGGUAUAAUCUGUGUUUUGUAGAAACUGAUUGAGUUAGCAUCUACACUAAUCUAAGGAGCUUGGAAAGACAAGCGUCUGGACUUCUUUAAGUUUCCUGGAAGACGUUUCACCUCUCAUCCGAGAAGCUUCUUCACUUUUAAGAGCAACUAGUGAAGUCCUAUGGGAAUGUCCCCAAGAAGGUCAUGGAACCUCUAUUGAUCCUCUACCUAAUCACACGAGCCAAGGUGUGAAAACAGGUGUGGACCAAGGUUUCAGGUGAACCCACUGUGAAACCUAGCCCCACCCUAUCAUGUGAUUUCCUGAGGUCAAAAAGCCCAGGAUGUGAGUGGGCAUUAAGGCGUCUGGGAAGGGAUCUCAAAACUGGAUUAUAGACAGUUGGUGUCGUAAACCACCACCUCUGUUCAACGCUGGUUGUUCACAGUGGACAUAGAUGGCUUCCUUAAAUCCUCUUUCAAACCGCCUGUCUUCUCUGUCCGACAUGGGAACACUGGCAUCCUUGAAAGAGUGUCCUUUUCUUUUAGAUGCAGAGAUGCUAUCUACACUAAUAUGCUAAUUGGCAAUUGGUGUGACCAGGCCUUUUAGACUGACCUCAAAGGUGUGACUCGCUGAACGGACUGCAUUUCAUUCCAUGUAAAACUAAUGACAGACUGUAAAAUGUGCGCAAAGUUGACUGUUAUUUUGUAGUUUGGUAUUUGUAUCCCACACUAAAGUUUCCAAAUACCAUUAAACCUGUGCCAUUCAUAUUUAAACUACCUAAAUACAUUAUUUUAGACAAGAAAAAUAUAUCAUGCUUUGUCUUAAGGUUAAAAAUAAUCUUUCCCCUUCUUUUUCGGCUUCCUCACUUUUCAUAUAAACCUAAAACAUACUCCUCAGUGCAUGUAAUCAAUUCACAAAGUGUCACAACCAAAGGAUACACAAGGAUGAGCGACAGCAAAGUCAAAUGCAACAACUGAAUCUACCUAGUAAAAGGAUUGCUCUCAAGCUUUAGCAAAGUCAUUUAGUACAAACAUGUGCAGUGUUUUUUUUAAGCAUGCUGCAGCCAACUGAGAAACCAAGUUUGAGCCCGCUCAUCUACCCGAGACCAACACCGCUGUCCACUCAAGACAACUCUGGUCUACCUGCUUGCCGUGGGCCGUCCUGAUCUGAGAUACGUGCCGGUGAGCAACUUCUACAUCGAGCCGCGAUGGAACGUGUGGUAUAGAAAGCUGUGGUGCAAGUGAGUCAUGGAAUGGUGCUUUACAGUAAGAUACAUUAAGAUAUUACAUUAAGAUCACAGGCAGAGAGAUGGAGGGACGUAAAUUCCAAUUCGGAUGUUGGGUAGAGUUUCAGGAAUUUACUCUGGUCGUGUGUCAAGAGUCUUCGUCUCUAAUUCUCUUCGACUCCCUCUCUGAAAGAUAAAGAAGAGUUCACGUUGUAGAAUAGAGAGAAC
Astatotilapia calliptera (eastern happy) is the source of this 2874-nucleotide long non-coding RNA. The record is from Ensembl. NCBI's taxonomy places the organism in Eukaryota, Metazoa, Chordata, Actinopteri, Cichliformes, Cichlidae.